AUAUAUUCAAAUACAGUAAGUUCCAGGAGAAGAAAUGACCUUUAGAGACACCAAGACAGCAGUGGGAGUUUAGGUCCGGUUCUCAACAGAUAGGAGGCGUCCUAGGAUUUUUCCUGAAAUACUGCAAUCACGGUGGUACUGACCCGAUUUCAGUGGACUGCUUCACCUGGAUGAAGCUGCCUCUUGCUAGAAAGCCAAAGGUUCUGUUUCUCGUUUCUUUCCUGCUCGUCUGCUCUGCCUUAACCCUCGCCCCACGCCCAUGUCCAUCAGUGUUCCUCGGGUCACUGAGGGGCAGCUCCACCUGUACUGACAGUUACCCUAUUUCCUCCUAGUGCCCAAGGAGGAUGCAGAGGCGGAGUUUCCUGCUGACACAGUGGAUAAAGAAUCUCCACACACUGAGGUGACCGCAGUAGGAAUGACAAAUGAUUGGGCCUCACAGAGCAUUUCCAAGUCCUACAGUGAAGCUGAAGUCUCUUCAGCAACCUUGUCACUCCCUGCUCUGGUGCACACAGAAGGCUAUGCGGCAGCACCUGAACUUUCCACUGGGUGUGGCAAUCGGGGGGUGUCCACAUGUUCCCUGGAAGUGAACUAUCCCCAAAGUCUUCUGGACAUGGAGGACCUUGACCAAGAAGAACAGGAAAUGUGAGUUUGGAGCAGGAAGAUGGGGGGCAGAGAAAUAAGUGCACAUGGACUUUACUGCUUCACAUUCUUUGUGAUACCUCAGGGAAUCCAACAUAAUGGAGCCCAGAAGUGGAGAGGCUGCCAUCAGCCCUGAUCCAUCAAAUAGACACUAAUGGAUGUUCAGGA
This 807-nucleotide long non-coding RNA is filed under the name Oryctolagus cuniculus (rabbit). RNAcentral describes it as "lncRNA (ENSOCUG00000039491.1)". The record is from RNAcentral. Lineage: Eukaryota; Metazoa; Chordata; Mammalia; Lagomorpha; Leporidae.